UGCCACCAUUCCCACUGAAGCAGAUGCCACUGAGAACAGCAGGGUGCACCUCAGCGCAGGGCCAUGCCCUGGCAGAUACUGAACUUUUUCCUACCAGAGCCCACUGUUAAAAACUCUGCCAUGUGCCCUUAAACUAUCUCAUCUCGGGAGUUUAAAUCCAGAUACUCCUUGAAGGGGAGAAAAGGCCCAAUACUUGUGUUUCCCACUGACCUCCAGGCCUGGGGCUGUGCCCCCACUGUGACUCCUAGAGAUAUUCCCAAGAUGGAGACUCACCAAAUGGGGCUGCCACAUUCCUCACAGCCCCCUGGGAGACACUUCUUCCCUCGGGCAGAGAACAGGAGCAUGGCUCACGGAGAUGUGAUGCACCCAGAAUAUUUCUUACAGGUUUAUUUCCUCAAGGCGGCCUAAGCACCCAUGGCAGUAACCUGCAUGCCAGGGCUGGCCCCAGGCUCCAACCAUGAGGUGCCCCCACAAUUCUAAGGGGGCUGUUAUAGGCUGACAGCACUAGUGCCGAAACCAGGGAACUGCACCACUGCACAAUCACCCCGCCGUAAUAUUUUUUUGCCUAUUUUCUUAAGAAACAAUUUAAGCGGGGGGGUUUUAAGCCCCAAGAUUCCAGCUACUGUCAUCUCUACCUCUUUCCUUACUCCUCAGAGAGCCACCUCUCACUGCUGCUGGCUCUCCACGGGCCUUCACCCCUGGCAGUGGCAGCUGUAGACAAGAGAACAAGCAAGAAACAGAAGGACUAUGCACGCUGGUAGCAUCACAAAAAUGUCAAGUUUCUGCUUUCUGGAGCAAUUCUAAUGCUUCUGUAACAUCUGGGGAUGGCAGGGCCUGCAUUACUGAUGAAGCUGGGUAUUUUUUCUUCUACCUUUUUCUUCAUUGAAGAACAAUUAUUGCACUCACUUAUUCCACUGCUUCUCCUCCCUCCCCCAUGUUUUCCCCCGACUCCUUCUGCCCUGAUGCCCUCUUUGAAGAUGGUUAAAAUAAUAUUGCAGACUGACAGAAGAACUGGAGUGAGGACUGUGGAGGCUAAAAAAGAUACCCCUCGAGUUUACUGGAGUGUGGACAGAAAAUGUGCUUGUUCAGUGCAGCAAAAGUAUUAAGUUCCCCCAAAACAAGAAGAAAAAGGACUCAGAACAUUUUCUUCAGUCACCACUAAUGGCACGUUGUCUUAAAUUGUCCCAGAGCUGGAAGAGAAUGUCAUGUUGCUUCUACUUACUCUGGUAAAAACAUUGUGUGUUUUUAUUUGUGUGGCAAGA
Lepidothrix coronata (blue-crowned manakin) is the source of this 1262-nucleotide long non-coding RNA. RefSeq lists it as uncharacterized. Lineage: Eukaryota; Metazoa; Chordata; Aves; Passeriformes; Pipridae. The record is from RefSeq and is a predicted model, not a curated record. The transcript has 3 exons.